Molecule: ribosomal RNA, 465 nt
Filed under: Vreelandella stevensii
Lineage: Bacteria; Pseudomonadati; Pseudomonadota; Gammaproteobacteria; Oceanospirillales; Halomonadaceae
Description: partial 16S ribosomal RNA
Rfam family: Bacterial small subunit ribosomal RNA
Source: RNAcentral
CCUACGGGGGGCAGCAGUGGGGAAUAUUGGACAAUGGGGGGAACCCUGAUCCAGCCAUGCCGCGUGUGUGAAGAAGGCCCUCGGGUUGUAAAGCACUUUCAGUGAGGAAGAACGCCUGGUGGUUAAUACCCAUCAGGAAAGACAUCACUCACAGAAGAAGCACCGGCUAACUCCGUGCCAGCAGCCGCGGUAAUACGGAGGGUGCGAGCGUUAAUCGGAAUUACUGGGCGUAAAGCGCGCGUAGGUGGCUUGAUAAGCCGGUUGUGAAAGCCCCGGGCUCAACCUGGGAACGGCAUCCGGAACUGUCAAGCUAGAGUGCAGGAGAGGAAGGUAGAAUUCCCGGUGUAGCAGUGAAAUGCGUAGAGAUCGGGAGGAAUACCAGUGGCGAAGGCGGCCUUCUGGACUGACACUGACACUGAGGUGCGAAAGCGUGGGUAGCAAACAGGAUUAGAUACCCCAGUAGUC